UACGGGGGAUGCAAGCGUUAUUCGGAAUUAUUGGGCGUAAAGCGCCUGUAGGUUGUUUAAUAAGUCUACUGUUAAAGCCUAGGGCUUAACCCUAGAAAAGCAAUGGAAACUAUUAAACUAGAGUAUGGCGGAGGUAGAGGGAACUUCUAGUGAAGCGGUGAAAUGCGUAAAGAUUAGAAAGAACACCAGUGGCGAAAGCACUCUACUAUACCAUUACUGACACUCAGAGGCGAAAGCUAGGGGAGCAAAAGGG
This 253-nucleotide ribosomal RNA is filed under the name uncultured bacterium. RNAcentral's name for it is "partial 16S ribosomal RNA". It matches the Rfam family "Bacterial small subunit ribosomal RNA", at positions 524 to 776 of the family's 1533-position model. The record is from RNAcentral.